RNAcentral lists this ribosomal RNA (776 nucleotides) under Grimmia austrofunalis. RNAcentral's name for it is "eukaryotic LSU rRNA". The stretch from base 396 to 548 matches the Rfam family "5.8S ribosomal RNA". The record is from RNAcentral. Lineage: Eukaryota; Viridiplantae; Streptophyta; Bryopsida; Grimmiales; Grimmiaceae.
UCAUUGCACACACAUAUUGAUGACAGACAAACCCCUAGCGAAUUUCAACAUUGUCCCCCCUUGGCCGGUUCUGCUCCCUUGUGGGCCCGGCCAGCCCAAGUUCCCCCCCGCCUGAACCCGGGACUUGUUACUUGGGGCUCUUUUCCUUCCUUCCUUCCUUCCUUCCUUCCUUCCUUCCUUCCUUUGGUGGUGGGGAGGAGGAGGAGGGGGAGAGUCUCAGGGACCGAGAGCACCCCCGUGUUUGGUUGGGUUCCGGGGACUUGGUGUUUCCAAACCGGAUGGCGCAAUGCAUCAACACUUUCAAUAUGACUGAGUAUAAAAGUUGGGGCCCGCGCUCCCCCCCAUUUCCAUGGGGGGUCUGUGUGUGUCCCCGAGUUGUUGUGAUAAACAAAAACAACUCUCAGCAACGGAUAUCUUGGCUCCUGCAACGAUGAAGAACGCAGCGAAAUGCGAUACGUAGUGUGAAUUGCAGAAUUCCGCGAAUCAUCGAGUCUUUGAACGCAAGUUGCGCCCGAGGCUUGACCAAGGGCAUUUCUGUCAGAGCGUCACCGCGACACCCACCGGCCCCCACUCCCCGCGAGUGAGUGGGCCGAGUGAAACUGGCCGUCCCAGUGGAUGGGUUGGCUGAAAUGGAGGGAAUUUGGCCGCCGCGGUGACACCAGCCCGCGAUCAGGUGAUGAUCCAAGUCUUCUUCUUGGAACAGUUCAAUGUGUGUUGGCUGUGUGUCCCCCAGUUGGUACCGAGGAUUCCAGAGCAGGUCACCAUCCCCCCCGGGG